ACAACUUUCAACAACGGAUCUCUUGGCUCUCGCAUCGAUGAAGAACGCAGCGAAAUGCGAUAAGUAAUGUGAAUUGCAGAAUUCAGUGAAUCAUCGAAUCUUUGAACGCACCUUGCGCUCCUUGGUAUUCCGAGGAGC
RNAcentral lists this ribosomal RNA (138 nucleotides) under Hygrophorus yukishiro. Its description in RNAcentral is "5.8S ribosomal RNA". It matches the Rfam family "5.8S ribosomal RNA", at positions 1 to 136 of the family's 154-position model. Rfam says of the family: 5.8S ribosomal RNA (5.8S rRNA) is a component of the large subunit of the eukaryotic ribosome. It is transcribed by RNA polymerase I as part of the 45S precursor that also contains 18S and 28S rRNA. Lineage: Eukaryota; Fungi; Basidiomycota; Agaricomycetes; Agaricales; Hygrophoraceae. The record is from RNAcentral.